GCAAUUUUCAGCAGUUUCCCGACCUGGGAGGCAACAGUAACAUCCUACUUCCCUGAAAGCUGGCAGUAAACUCCAAGUCCCAACUUUUGAUGUUCCAGCCCUUCCAAUGGUUGUAUAAACCCCUGACUCCCUGCCCUAAACCUUUUUCCAUUGGGGGCCUCGUAAGGUGGCACCUAGCCCCACUAACACGGCAUGUGUGUGUGUGUGUGCACCUGCACCUGCACCUGCACCUGCACAGGAGUCAGCUAGAAAGCACAAAGGCGAAUGUGUCACUCCUGUGGCAUGGGACCAUGAAUGGCCUCUGUUUGCCCUCUAGUUCUCUGGCUGGGAACUCAGAGAUGUCCCUCCCUGUCCAAUCUCAUCUCCUGCCACUCCCCAUACUUCCUCCCCAGCAGCUCCGCUCCAGGACAUUGAUAACUGUGAAUAGAAGACAGUCGUUGGGAGAUUUCACCGCAAUCUGAAUGACCACUCACUUUUUAUCUCCACACAAGACUGUGAGCCCCUUGAGGAUGGAGGCUCAGUUGCAUUUUUCUUGGUACCACUAGAAAUCAGCAUUGAAGUUGGCAAAAAGUAGGGAUCAGGGAUUUUUUUUUUCUUAAAUUCAUGAGUGAACGCUGUCUCCCUGGUCAAACUGUUUUCAGAGGAUUGAGAUAAGGAGGCAUUUGUCUGCAGGUUCCCAUCUCCAGAGCAGAGGCUCUGCAUGAUGUCUUCAAAGCCAGAUUGGAUCCCUACCCCGGUCUGGAGUGUGAGCUAGAGCCUCGGCCCUCACCAGCAUAUGCUAUAGCAAGGGCUCUGGGCAGGGAGGCAUCAAACCCCAGGUGCUCAGGGGGACUCUGCUCCCCUCCAUUUUUUCUAGAAAUGUACCAGGACCCCUUCCCUGUGCUGGGUGCUAAGGAUACAGCAGCAAACAAAAUAGGCUGUCCCUCUGUCUUCACGGGCACAAUAUUCAGCCAGGCUCUUUGCCUCAGUGUCCCCAAGUGUUAAUUGGAGACAGUAGCUCUUAUAUUGUGUGGUUGCUGCAAGGGUAAAAUGAGUUAGAAGACAUCAAGGGCUUAGAACGGUGCCUGGCACAUAGUAAGUGCUAAAUGAAUCUGGCUAUUAUUAGAUCAUGGAGCUUAUUAUUAGAUCACGGGUGAGUCAGAGGAUAGACAAUCAGGGAGUAACUAGGACCAUCUUAGAGUGAGCUAAGUGCCUCAGGCGAGAUAAUGCAGAGGUGGGGGACAGAGUGGGUGGGGAGGGGAGCCGCCAUACAGUGGCCAGGACCAGCUUUGCCCAAGUGGUGGCAACCGCAUGACCACAGGAACGAUGGCGUGAGCCCCGUGGCAACCUGGAGGAAGGGUGUGCUGGGCAGGGGAGGGCGGUGCAAAGACCCCAAGAAAGAGAGUCUGGCCCAUUGGCCAGCACGGCUGGAGUGUGGGGACAGGGCAGGGGUGUGCGGGGGAGACUGGAGUCCCAGGAGAGGCCAGGUUGCAGGGCAUUGAGGGCCAGAGGAGGCACCUGGGCCUGUUCCAUUCCCAACCCUCAGGAUGGCCCACCCAUUACCCACAGCUGCACGUGAACGUCCUUUGGCGCUGGCCUCCAGGGUGGGGAAACCAGGUUCCUGCAGAGAGGGGCAGAUCUGAGUGUCCCCCGCCCUCGCCUGGGUGCACUCAGGGUCAGGCCUGGUGCCCGCAGAGUCCAUCCCAUGCCUCAUUACCCCCGGCUGGCUGAGGCCCACCCUGGGCUCCUGGUGGGUGGGGGCACUUCUGUGAGCUCCACCACUGUGUCUGUGAGCCCAACCCCGACCAGCCCCCUCCAGCUUCUGGGGCCUGCAAGGAGGAGGAAGGCCAGGGUAGAGGGAAUGGAGAGAGACUGUUCCAUGCAGAGGGGUGAGCCACCUUCUGCGGUGGAGGCCAGGAGCAAGGAUAUGCUCUGAGCCUGGUCUGGGGCCCCUCCCCCACUUCCCACCUCCCAGCUCUUCCCUCCUAGAGACACCUUCUUUGUCUGCAGAGGCCACUGCUUUGAUUCUGUUGUUGCUAGGUGAUGGGAACUGGGGGGAGCAAAGAGUGGGGAACUGGGCAGGGUCUGGCGGGGCUGUGGUGGGGGAAGCUGAAGCAUGAAGGCUCGAGGAGCACACAGACACCUACACACAGCUCCGCGGGCAUGUGGGGACCCAGACCCACCCCCACAGCAGACACCCCCACAGAGCACUCAUGGCCCCCACAGAAAUACACCCACACUCAUCACAGCAAACCAAAACAAUCACACGCCGGUACACAAACACACACACCCCCGCACCAAUCCAGGCAGACACAAAGCUCACGGCGACAGGCAGAUCUGAUUCACACAGACACAGGCACAGGUGCUUCCUGAUGCCACCCUCUCUUGGUCACGUGCCAGCACUUGGAGGGAGGAAAGUGCCUCACCAGGCUGAGAUGCCCAAGGGACCCCCCAGGGAGGGAAAGCAGGACACACUGGGACAGUUGCUUCCAGCCCUGUCCACACCCUUGUGCCCAUCAGGAAAUAAUCCAGGAUCCAUUUCGUGUGGUCAUCUUGUCUCCCUGGUCCCCUCCAGCCUUUCCUCAUCUUUUGUGACCUGGUCACUCUGGAAGGGCGCUGGCCAGUUAGUCCACAGGAUGGGCCUCCCCUGGGGCUUUUCUGAUGCUUCCUUAUGAUGGCACUGGCAUCCUGAGGGGGAGGACCACAGAGAGGAGGUGCUCCUCAUCACACCACAUGGGGGUCCAUGCACCAGUGCCACUGCUUUCCAGGGCUCUUCACCUUCAUCACUGGUGGAGGUGGCGUCUGCCAAGAAGCAGAAAGUUGAGGCUUAGAAGGUGCACGGCCCUACCUCUUCCGAGGUGCCCCUGCGGGCUGUCUACAGACCAGGCAGCACAUGCCUGAUAGCAGCUGCAUAAGGAAAAGCAGGAGCCAGCUCGUGCACAGUGGCCUCAAGUGUGCACUGGGCAUGUUCUCUGCCUCACCAUCCCUGUGUGACAGAUGAAGCAUGGCAAGCCAGGCUCCAGAGAAGCAUCCUGAGGACCAGUGUUCCUAGGGACCUCAUUCUUCUGACCUCAUUCCUACAACGUUUUGUCACUGCAAAGGAAAUCACCAAGGCCAGCAUGACAGCCCUCAACAGAAGCCAAGGCCAAGUCCUCGAACUUCCUAGUCUGCACAAUGUCUGUCUUUCAGACACUUCUGAUGAAACUGAAAAUGCCACCAGGGAGAAGCAGCUGAACAAUGUGAGAGAUAGAAUGGAUGCCCUAAAGAAGAGGAUGCAGCAGAAAUUAGGAAGAGAUAAAGAAGAGCAACAUUCCUUAAGAAAUGCCCUAUGGUUGGGAAUGGCCAUUUCAUGUUAGAAACAAAGGUGAUAAUAUUCAAUUCUGGGCAGUCUUCUGCUUAGUGCGAUAACUACCUUUUUUCUGAGAUAGAGUUUUGCUCUUGUUGCCCAGGCUGGAGUGCAAUGGCGCAAUCUCGGCUUACUGCAACCUUUGCCUCCCAGGUUCAAGUGAUUCUCCUGCCUCAGCCUCCUGAGUAGCUGGGAUUACAGGCAUGUGCCAACACACCUGGCUAAUUUUGUGUUUUUAGUAGAGAUGGGGUUUCUCCGUGUUGGUCAGGCUGGUCUCAAACUCCCGAUCUCAGGUGAUCCACUUGCCUUGGCCUCCCAAACUGCUGGGAUUGCAGGCAUGAGCCACUGCGCCUGGCCUCCCUUUUUUAACUCACCCUCCAAAACCUUUAGUAAAAUCUAUUUUACCCAAUGCCUUUGUUUUUGUGGUGUCUUGGGGGAGAAAGGUAGGUUCUCCCAUGUGGUAAGAAGGAGCAGGGAUUGGACAGAAGCACAUGGCCUGAGGUAAUGGACAAGAUACUGGAUGGGAGAACACCAGGAGAAUGCCAAUACCUUCCCUGCUUGUCCCUGGGGUUUAGGGCAUCUACUGGACUCCCCAGUCAUAUAAGUUUCAAACAGUUCUAAAGCUGUAGCCACACUCCCAGAGGUUCCCAGAUUUAAU
This 3983-nucleotide long non-coding RNA is filed under the name Homo sapiens (human). RNAcentral's name for it is "non-protein coding LINC01471:1". Lineage: Eukaryota; Metazoa; Chordata; Mammalia; Primates; Hominidae. The record is from RNAcentral.